AAGGGCACCACAAGAGCGUGGAGCAUGUGGCUUAAUUUGACUCAACGCGGGAAAUCUUACCGGGUCCGGACAUAUCGAGGAUUGACAGACAGUUACCAUGCCCUUUCGAAAGGAGUCAGGUUUUAAACCUAAUGGCUCUUUCAUGAUUAUAUGAUAGGUGGUGCAUGGCCGUUCUUAGUUCGUGGAGUGAUCUGUCUGCUUAAUUGCGUUUCAAAUUUUUAUUUGAGGACCAGGUUUUGGUUUGGGUAGUGGUCCUACGAUGACUGUGAACAGUCAUGUCUUCGGAUGUGCGACUAUCGGUCUAGGAUCGCAUCUCAGCCCCUGGGACUCUUUUGAACGCAACGGACGUGAUUGCAACCCCUUGUUGAGAUUAGAGGAGUCUCGAUAUUCAUUGGCCAAACUUACCGCUUCGAGCUUGCUCGUGCAGUUUUGUUAGCCGGUGGAUAAACUCGGGGGACUGCUGACUAUAACCAUUUCUCAAAACAGAGGAAGGUUGCGGCAAUAACAGGUCUGUGAUGCCCUUAGAUGUCCCGGGCUGCACACGUGCUACAAUGAGUGGCGCAAUGUGUGCAAUUUGUAAGGGAUAAGAGUGUGGUCAGUAUGCCGUCGGGAUUCCCCCUGACGUCUCCAGCACACGAUUAUCAGCCUUCCUAACAGGGCGGGUAACCUUUUCAAAAUACCAGUUUGAUUUAAAGCUUGGGUCAAUUAGGGUGAUGGUUCGAUAGAACCAAUAUCACCCAGCUGCUACUCGNNNNNGCGUGUUAUUCCUGGUGACUCAUGGUGGGGACCGACAUUUGAAUUGUCUGUCGCGUGUUAACCGGGAACGCCUUGUACUGUCGAUUCACUAAGUUAUGGGAAUACGUCCCUGCCCUUUGUACACACCGCCCGUCGCUCUUACCGAUGGCUUUGGCUGCGAGUAAAAGGGACUUUCGUUUUGGAACUUUGUCGAACAGAUGGGGCUAAAGGAAAGAGAAGUCGUAACAAGGCAUCAGUAGGUGAACCU
RNAcentral lists this ribosomal RNA (1003 nucleotides) under Globigerinoides ruber. RNAcentral describes it as "SSU rRNA". It matches the Rfam family "Eukaryotic small subunit ribosomal RNA", at positions 1160 to 1816 of the family's 1831-position model. The record is from RNAcentral. Lineage: Eukaryota; Foraminifera; Rotaliida; Globigerinidae.